UGGCGAAGGGGCUCUCUGGCCACCACUGACGCUGAGGUGCGAAAGCUAGGGGAGAGAACGGGAUUAGAAACCCCGGUAUUCCUAGCCGUAAACGAUGUCAACUAAGUGUAGGUGGAUUGACCCCAUCUGUGCUGUAGCAAACGCGUUAAGUUGACCGCCUGGGGAGUACGGCCGCAAGGCUAAAACUCAAAGGAAUUGACGGGGACCGGCACAAGCAGCGGAGCGUGUGGUUUAAUUCGAGGCUACGCGAAGAACCUUACCAGGGCUUGACAUACAGCUGGAGUGAAGCGAAAGUGGAACGCCCUUCGGGGAGGCUGAACAGGUGCUGCAUGGCUGUCGUCAGCUCGUGCCGUGAGGUGUUAGGUUAAGUCCUGUAACGAGCGCAACCCUCGUCGUUAGUUACAAGUGUCUAACGAGACUGCCGGUGAUAAGCCGGAGGAAGGUGGGGAUGACGUCAAGUCAGCAUGGCCUUUAUGUCCUGGGCUACACACACGCUACAAUGGCCGGUACAAUGGGCAGCCAAGCCGCGAGGCGGAGCCAAUCCCGAAAGCCGGUCUCAGUUCGGAUUGUAGGCUGCAACUUGCCUGCAUGAAGUCGGAGUUGCUAGUAAACGCGCGUCAGCAACAGUGCGUUGAUACGUUCCCGGGUCUUGCACACACCGCCCGUCA
Molecule: ribosomal RNA, 668 nt
Filed under: uncultured bacterium
Lineage: Bacteria
Description: bacterial SSU rRNA
Rfam family: Bacterial small subunit ribosomal RNA
Source: RNAcentral